AAGCUUGCUCUUUUGAUGGCGAGUGGCGAACGGGUGAGUAAUGCAUCGGAACGUACCGAGUAGGGGGGGAUAACUGUCCGAAAGGAUGGCUAAUACCGCAUAUUCUCUGAGGAGGAAAGCAGGGGACCUUAGGGCCUUGCGCUUUUUGAGCGGCCGAUGUCUGAUUAGCUAGUUGGGGGGGUAAGAGCCCACCAAGGCGACAAUCAGUAGCGGGUCUGAAAGGAUGAUCCGCCACACUGGGACUGAAACACGGCCCAAACUCCUACGGGAGGCAGCAGUGGGGAAUUUUGGACAAUGGGCGCAAGCCUGAUCCAGCCUUGCCGCGUGUAUGAAAAAGGCCUUCGGGUUGUAAAGUACUUUUGUCAGGAAAAAAAAGCCUGGGGAUAACACCCUCGGGUCAUGACGGUACCUGAAGAAUAAGCACCGGCUAACUACGUG
RNAcentral lists this ribosomal RNA (438 nucleotides) under uncultured bacterium. Its description in RNAcentral is "partial 16S ribosomal RNA". It matches the Rfam family "Bacterial small subunit ribosomal RNA", at positions 64 to 507 of the family's 1533-position model. The record is from RNAcentral.